RNAcentral lists this non-coding RNA (145 nucleotides) under Paramoeba aestuarina. The record is from RNAcentral. Lineage: Eukaryota; Discosea; Flabellinia; Dactylopodida; Paramoebidae.
CUUUCCCUUGUUUUGUAAAUUUUACCCCUUUUCCCUUCGCUUUCCUCUGCUCUUUCUUCCCUUUCUUCGAUCUUCUCUCCAAAAAAAAAAAAUGAAGAAGAGAAGACAGUCUUGUAACUGUAGAAUAAAGACAAAAAAAAAGAAA